CCUCACUAACUCCCUCUAGGAAAAGUCAGUAACAGAAACCCCAAAUCAAGAGCAUUUUCUCCUUCCUUGGGGAGGUGUCAGACCCCGGAAACCCCUGAGCAUCCCUGGCAACGCACCCAGGAGGGGGCACAGGAGGAGCCAUUGUCAAGGGCAGGACCUGGUGCUGGCCUCCAGCCUCCACCCAGUGGCUCUUGCAGCCAUGUGCUGGGCACCCAGGGAUCCAGGAAGGGGGGCGGGAAGAGCACAGGUUGCUGGGCCUCCAGCGUGCUGGUCGCCUGCUGAUGGCUGCAGACUUGCUCCUCGGCCUCUGGCAUUGGGAAUCUGCAGCUUCUCUCUGCAGAAAACUCUUCACUUCUGCUCCGGGCAGCCUCUCAGCUGCUCCAGGAGGAUCCCGUGUAGCUCUCUCACAAGGGAGGCCCAGACAGGGCUCGAGAUCCUCUCUCCAAUAAACUGCAGGAGGGCAGGUGCACCCUGUGCAGCCACCUCUCCCUGGCUCUGCCUUCAAAGGAGCUGGUCAGCCAGUGACCACCCUUCAGAUCCCUCCAGUGAGAGUCAGACAGUGGUGCACUUGGCACCCCAAGGGGCAGAGGAUGUGCCUCCGGUCUGUGGCCUGAGCCAGGCACCUCCCACUUGUCCUUCCUGGAGCUCCCUAGCAACAACAGACACCACAGAACCUCCUGGAAUCUUGAAUCCCAGCCUCAGUGACAGUCUCGUGGGAGAUGAGGGCUGGGAACGCUGCUGCUGGUCCCUGGGUAAAUCCUUCCACAGAGCCUCACACCCCUUCUUUUGUCUUCAACUGAGACCGCGGCAUUACCCACCACCUGGACACACAACCCCCUGCAGCAGUGCUAUGUAUAAAACACAGCAGAGAGACAGAGAGAAAGGUCUUCCUUCCGUUGGUUCACCCCCCAAAUGGCCACUACGGCCGGAGCUGCGCCGAUCCUAAGCCAGGAGCCAGGUGCUUCCUCCUGGUCUCCCAUGCGGGUGCAGGGCCCAAGCACUUGGGCCAUCCUCCAUUGCCCUCCUGGGCCACAGCAGAGAGCUGGACUGGAAGAGGAGUAGCCGGGACUACAGAUGAUGGAAGGACAGACGACAGAUAACAGACUGAUAGAUGAUGGAUACAUGAUAGAUGGGACUGACAGAUGCAUAGCUAGAACAGACAGCUACCCGUUUUUUUCUGCUCCUCUGCAGAACACUAACACAAGGACUUAACCAGAGGGCAACGUGGGGCAAGACGAACGUCACUGCUCCCGGCAGCUUCUUCUUCUUCCGCUGAGCCCUGCAGAGGCAUUUCCCGUCUUCUGCCACGGCGCAUUUUAUCCUUAGGUCAGGUUAUGUGGCUCUUGGCAGGGGACCACGUUCAGACAAACGUGUUCCUGGAAACUACACUGUGAAUCCAGCGGUCAUCAGGCAGGUGGGGCUUUCCCGUGGAAACAAUGCUCUGUUGCACGACGCCAGGAGGGAGAACGCAUUGCUCCCGGACGGCACUGUGCAGAACAGAAGGGACUUUCCCAGACACCUUGUCCUGACUUCGGGGAGGUAGGCCGUGCACUCUCCUCACUGUACACAAGAAACUGCAGCUCAGAGAAGCGCUUGGCCAGGGUCACCUGGCUGAGGAGGGACCCAGCCAGCUCAGCCCCACGGAGUGGCCUUUCCAACUUCUCCUUAACCAGGCAAGGCCUCAGCUUCUACUGAAUCAGGCAGAGCAUCCACACAAGAAUGUGGCUAAGAUUGUAAAACUUUACUCCUAGGAGACAUAAAACGCAGAAACGAGCGCACUGACUACGCAGGAGACCCCUGAGCGCUGAGGCCGACCUGUGACACUGAUCUAAGCAGCACUGCCCGCCACAGAGCCCCUUGCCUAAAACUCGCGCCCUCCCCACCUUUCCCCAGCACUAAUUCAGCCUUCUGUCCCCGCGCUGAGCCAGCCUGCGCUCUUUGGUCCUUUUUCAUGCUCCCUUGAUUUGCCUGCCCAGGUGCCCUGCUGUCUCAGCUCUGGGCCCCCUGGGCCACAGUCCACCAGCUCUGCUCACUCCACCUUCCACCCCCGCUCUCCCUGACAUCCAGAGAUGCAGUCUCAUCUAGGAAUCUGCAAAGUCACUUUAUGCCCCAUAUGUCAUGCCCUGAGGGCACCUCGGACCCAAAAUGCCUGGACAGGGACUUGAGGGAACAGCAGGAGGGGAGGAGACGGGGAACAGAGCUAAGGAGAGUGGUGUACUGAGCUAAGCCUCUGCCUGUGACGCCGGUUUAGUCCCAGCUGGUUCUCUCCCAAACCAACUCUCUGCUAUGGCCAGGGAAAGCAGUGGAAGAUGCUUGGGUCCCUGCACCCACGUGGGAGACCCAGAGGAAGUUCCUGGCUCCUGGUUUCAGAUCAGCCCAGCUCUGGCCAAUGCGACCAUUUGGGGAGUGAACUAGGGGAUGAAAGACCUUUCUCUCUGUCUCUACUUUUCUGUCUGUAAUACUACCUCUCAAAUAAAUAAAAUCUUUUUUUAAGCA
Oryctolagus cuniculus (rabbit) is the source of this 2496-nucleotide long non-coding RNA. Lineage: Eukaryota; Metazoa; Chordata; Mammalia; Lagomorpha; Leporidae. The record is from Ensembl.